GACGAACGCUGGCGGCGUGCUUAACACAUGCAAGUCGAACGAAGUGGCGAACGGGUGAGUAACGCGUCAUCAACCCGCCCUUCAGAGGGGGACAACAGUUGGAAACGACUGCUAAUACCGCAUACGGAAGGAGGGGAUGGAGGCUGAGUAGCUAGUUGGAGGGGUAACGGCCUACAAAGGCGGUGAUCAGUAGCCUGUCUGAUAGGACUGACGGCCACUUGUGGACUUAUACACGGCCCAGACUCUUACGGAAGGCAGCAGGUGGGAAUCUUCCGCAAUGGAGGAAAGUCUUACGAAACAACGCCGCGUGAGUGAUGACGGCCUUCGGGUUUUAAAGCGAUGUUAAUCGGGACGCGGUACCUGAAUAGAAAGCCACGGCUAACUACGUGCCAGCCGCCGCGGUAAUUC
This 408-nucleotide ribosomal RNA is filed under the name uncultured bacterium. RNAcentral describes it as "partial 16S ribosomal RNA". It matches the Rfam family "Bacterial small subunit ribosomal RNA", at positions 28 to 526 of the family's 1533-position model. The record is from RNAcentral.